GUCCAGUCACGCUGCGGAUAUUGGGCGUAAGCGCGCGCAGGUGGUUUCUUAAGUCUGAUGUGAAAGCCCACGGCUCAACCGGGGAGGUUCAUUGGAAACUGGGAGACUUGAGUGCAGAAGAGGAAAGUGGAAUUCCAUGUGUAGCGGUGAAAUGCGUAGAUAUAUGGAGGAACACCAGUGGCGAAGGCGACUUUCUGGUCUGUAACUGACACUGAGGCGCGAAAGCGUGGGGAGCAAACAGGAUUAGAUACCCCCGUAGUCCAAA
Molecule: ribosomal RNA, 265 nt
Filed under: Metabacillus harenarius
Lineage: Bacteria; Bacillati; Bacillota; Bacilli; Caryophanales; Bacillaceae
Description: Bacillus weihaiensis partial 16S ribosomal RNA
Rfam family: Bacterial small subunit ribosomal RNA
Source: RNAcentral